AAGUCGUAACAAGGUUUCCGUAGGUGAACCUGCGGAAGGAUCAUUACUGAGAGCGGGGCUUCGCGCUCCCGGGGGUCUCGGCCCCCAACUCUUCACCCUUUGUGUACCAACCUUUGUUGCUUUGGCGGGCCCGAGGACCUCCCGCGCCGCAUACAAACCGGCGAGCGCCCGUCAGAGGCCCAUUAAAAUCUGCUUAUCAGUGAUGUCCGAGCGAAAAACACAAUCAAUAAAACUUUCAACAACGGAUCUCUUGGUUCCA
RNAcentral lists this unclassified non-coding RNA (259 nucleotides) under Cetraria sp. RNAcentral describes it as "partial contains small subunit ribosomal RNA, internal transcribed spacer 1, and 5.8S ribosomal RNA". The stretch from base 1 to 46 matches the Rfam family "Eukaryotic small subunit ribosomal RNA", at positions 1786 to 1831 of the family's 1831-position model. The record is from RNAcentral. Lineage: Eukaryota; Fungi; Ascomycota; Lecanoromycetes; Lecanorales; Parmeliaceae.